AGCUUUAUAGUCAAUAUAUGAUAUCAGAUUGCAAAUUUGAAGUAGUAAUAAUUACUAAAGCUU
This 63-nucleotide transfer RNA is filed under the name Ninus insignis. RNAcentral's name for it is "tRNA-Cys". Lineage: Eukaryota; Metazoa; Arthropoda; Insecta; Hemiptera; Ninidae. The record is from RNAcentral.